This is a long non-coding RNA of Chinchilla lanigera (long-tailed chinchilla), 204 nucleotides long. RefSeq lists it as uncharacterized. Lineage: Eukaryota; Metazoa; Chordata; Mammalia; Rodentia; Chinchillidae. The record is from RefSeq and is a predicted model, not a curated record. The transcript is spliced from 3 exons.
AGACAAAUGGAGCAGCCAUUUUCCACAGGACUCAGAGAGCACCACAAAGAGAAGUAAAGAAGUUUAUUCAGUUGUGCAGUUCCAAGAGCAUGACACUGUCUUCCUCAAGCUCUGGUUGUGACCUCAUGGUAGUAACAACAGGGGAAACCAAGAAGAGUUCUUGAAAAUAAAGAGCUGAACUGGGCUCCGCAAGCUGACUUUGUG